This 1204-nucleotide ribosomal RNA is filed under the name Porphyromonas levii. Its description in RNAcentral is "bacterial SSU rRNA". It matches the Rfam family "Bacterial small subunit ribosomal RNA", at positions 149 to 1352 of the family's 1533-position model. The record is from RNAcentral. Lineage: Bacteria; Pseudomonadati; Bacteroidota; Bacteroidia; Bacteroidales; Porphyromonadaceae.
CGGAGAAAUCCGGACUAAUACCGCAUACACUUAGUUAUCCGCAUGGAUGAUUAAGGAAAGAUUUAUUGCUAAGAGAUAGGCAUGCGUUCCAUUAGUUAGUUGGUGAGGUAACGGCUCACCAAGGCAUCGAUGGAUAGGGGAGCUGAGAGGCUUAUCCCCCACAUUGGGACUGAGACACGGCCCAAACUCCUACGGGAGGCAGCAGUGAGGAAUAUUGGUCAAUGGAGGAAACUCUGAACCAGCCAAGUCGCGUGAAGGAUGACUGUCCUAUGGAUUGUAAACUUCUUUAGUAGGCGAGUAAACGUAGGUACGAGUACCUACCUGCAAGUAGCCUAAGAAUAAGUAUCGGCUAACUCCGUGCCAGCAGCCGCGGUAAUACGGAGGAUACGAGCGUUAUCCGGAUUUAUUGGGUUUAAAGGGUGCGUAGGUGGCAGAUUAAGUCAGUGGUGAAAAGCUGUGGCUCAACCAUAGUCUUGCCGUUGAAACUGGUUUGCUUGAGUACAGUUGAUGUAGGCGGAAUGCGUAGUGUAGCGGUGAAAUGCAUAGAUAUUACGCAGAACUCCGAUUGCGAAGGCAGCUUACAAAAGUGUAACUGACACUGAUGCACGAAAGCGUGGGUAUCAAACAGGAUUAGAUACCCUGGUAGUCCACGCCGUAAACUAUGAUUACUCAGAGUAUGCGAUAUAAUGUAUGCUCUCAAGCGAAAGCAUUAAGUAAUCCACCUGGGGAGUACGUCGGCAACGAUGAAACUCAAAGGAAUUGACGGGGGCCCGCACAAGCGGAGGAACAUGUGGUUUAAUUCGAUGAUACGCGAGGAACCUUACCUGGGAUUGAAAUGUAUAGGACAGGGGAUGGAAACAUUCUUUUUCUCUUCGGAGACUUAUAUGUAGGUGCUGCAUGGUUGUCGUCAGCUCGUGCCGUGAGGUGUCGGCUUAAGUGCCAUAACGAGCGCAACCCUUAUCGUUAGUUACUAGCAGGUAGUGCUGAGGACUCUAGCGAGACUGCCGUCGUAAGGCGAGAGGAAGGUGGGGAUGACGUCAAAUCAGCACGGCCCUUAUAUCCAGGGCGACACACGUGUUACAAUGGUGAGGACAAAGGGUAGCUACCUGGUGACAGGAUGCCAAUCUCCAAACCUCAUCUCAGUUCGGAUCGAAGUCUGCAACUCGACUUCGUGAAGCUGGAUUCGCUAGUAAUCGCGCAUCAG